GAUUAACGCUAGCGGCAGGCCUAAUACAUGCAAGUCGAGGGGCAGCAGGGUGUAGCAAUACAUCGCUGGCGACCGGCGCACGGGUGCGUAACACGUAUGCAACCUACCUUUAACUGGGGAAUAGCCCUCCGAAAGGAGGAUUAACACCGCAUAACAUCACGAGACGGCAUCGCCUUGUGAUCAAACCUCCGGGGGUUAAAGAUGGGCAUGCGUCCGAUUAGCUAGUUGGCGGGGUAACGGCCCACCAAGGCGACGAUCGGUAGGGGGUCUGAGAGGAUGAUCCCCCGACACUCGGUACGUGAGGACACGGACCAGACUCCUACGGGAGGCAGCAGUAAGGAAUAUUGGACAAUGGUCGCAAGACUGAUCCAGCCAUGCCGCGUGCAGGAUGACGGCCCUACGGGUUGUAAACUGCUUUUAUACUGGAAUAAACCCACCUACGUGUAGGUGGCUGAAUGUACAGUAAGAAUAAGGAUCGGCUAACUCCGUGCCAGCAGCC
Molecule: ribosomal RNA, 499 nt
Filed under: uncultured bacterium
Lineage: Bacteria
Description: bacterial SSU rRNA
Rfam family: Bacterial small subunit ribosomal RNA
Source: RNAcentral